CGGGAAACUGGGGAUAAUACCCCAUAGACUAUGGAUGCUGGAAUGCUUCGUAGUUGAAAGGUCCGCCGCUGUAGGAUGGGUCUGCGGCCGAUUAGGUUGUUGUUGGGGUAACGGCCCAACAAGCCUGUAAUCGGUACGGGUUGUGGGAGCAAGAGCCCGGAGAUGGAUUCUGAGACACGAAUCCAGGCCCUACGGGGCGCAGCAGGCGCGAAAACUUUACAAUGCGGGAAACCGUGAUAAGGGAACUCUGAGUGCCCGUAAAAUCGGGCUGUCCAUCAGUUUAAAUAACUGGUGAAGAAAGGGCCGGGCAAGACCGGUGCCAGCCGCCGCAGUAAUA
This 337-nucleotide ribosomal RNA is filed under the name uncultured archaeon. RNAcentral describes it as "partial 16S ribosomal RNA". It matches the Rfam family "Archaeal small subunit ribosomal RNA", at positions 133 to 475 of the family's 1478-position model. The record is from RNAcentral.